Molecule: unclassified non-coding RNA, 400 nt
Filed under: uncultured fungus
Lineage: Eukaryota; Fungi
Description: sequence contains ITS1
Rfam family: 5.8S ribosomal RNA (bases 1-105)
Source: RNAcentral
GAAAUGCGAUAAGUAAUGUGAAUUGCAGAAUUCAGUGAAUCAUCGAAUCUUUGAACGCACAUUGCGCUCCUUGGUAUUCCGGGGAGCACGCCUGUUUGAGAAUCAUUAAAACCACAUCACUGUUUGUCUUGCCCUCGGGUGAGACCGGUGGAAUUGAGCAUUUCUUCCCCUUCACUGGCGGAAGAAUGACUUGAAAUUGAAUGUCGGGAGAUCCUCCGGUACCAAUCCGCAGGUAUUUCAAGCGCAUGAAAGGGUGUUUACACUUUGGAAUUCGUUUGUCCACCUGCUGAAUGAUGAGGGGAGGUUCGCACGACUUCUGGAUGAUAUUCCUCGUCCAGUACCCAAAACUGUUUGGUGACAAUUUGCCAUCGAGCAGUUGAACUCUUGGUCUCAAAUCAGG